GGCUGGUCCAAUGGCAGUGGGUUAUCAGAACUUAACAUUAGUGUCACUAAAUAGUAUACCACCACCACCACCACUGCUAAAUUUGAGGCUUUAA
This is an unclassified non-coding RNA of Cavia aperea (Brazilian guinea pig), 94 nucleotides long. It matches the Rfam family "Y RNA". Rfam says of the family: Y RNAs are components of the Ro ribonucleoprotein particle (Ro RNP), in association with Ro60 and La proteins. Lineage: Eukaryota; Metazoa; Chordata; Mammalia; Rodentia; Caviidae. The record is from Ensembl.